RNAcentral lists this ribosomal RNA (253 nucleotides) under uncultured bacterium. Its description in RNAcentral is "partial 16S ribosomal RNA". It matches the Rfam family "Bacterial small subunit ribosomal RNA", at positions 524 to 776 of the family's 1533-position model. The record is from RNAcentral.
UACGAAGGGGGCUAGCGUUGCUCGGAAUUACUGGGCGUAAAGGGUGCGUAGGUGGUUUGUUAAGUCUGCUGUGAAAUCCCCGGGCUCAACCUGGGAAUGGCAGUGGAUACUGGCAAGCUAGAGUGCGGUAGAGGGUAGUGGAAUUCCCGGUGUAGCAGUGAAAUGUGUAGAGAUCGGGAGGAACACCAGUGGCGAAGGCGGCUACCUGGACCAGCACUGACACUGAAGCACGAAAGCGUGGGGAGCAAACAGG